Molecule: non-coding RNA, 188 nt
Filed under: Plesiocystis pacifica
Lineage: Bacteria; Pseudomonadati; Myxococcota; Nannocystales; Nannocystaceae
Also listed under: 1 other name
Source: RNAcentral
UAAGGAGGGCGCGCCUCCGGUUCGCCCGCAUGGGCGUCGCAAGAGGGAAUCCGGUUCAACGCCGGAACUGCCCCGCAGCGGUGAGUGGUGACGAACGCCGUCAAUGGCACUGGCUCCGAAGAGCUGGGAAGCGACGGUCACUAGGUCGACCCACGAGUCCGAAGACCUGCCGAAGGUGCCCGCGCCCC